GUUGUCGUGGCCGAGUGGUUAAGGCGAUGGACUCGAAAUCCAUUGGGGUUUCCCCGCGCAGGUUCAGGUUCAAAUCCUGCCGAUAACG
Molecule: transfer RNA, 88 nt
Filed under: Danionella translucida
Lineage: Eukaryota; Metazoa; Chordata; Actinopteri; Cypriniformes; Danionidae
Also listed under: 1 other name
Rfam family: tRNA
About the family: Transfer RNA (tRNA) molecules are approximately 80 nucleotides in length.
Source: Rfam by way of RNAcentral